RNAcentral lists this ribosomal RNA (249 nucleotides) under uncultured bacterium. RNAcentral describes it as "partial 16S ribosomal RNA". It matches the Rfam family "Bacterial small subunit ribosomal RNA", at positions 523 to 769 of the family's 1533-position model. The record is from RNAcentral.
AUACGGAGGGUGCGAAGCGUUGUUCGGAAUUAUUGGGCGUAAAGCGCGUGUAGGCGGUCUUUUAAGUCUGAUGUGAAAGCCCCGGGCUCAACCUGGGAAGUGCAUUUGGAAACUGGGAGACUUGAGUACGGGAGAGGAGAGUGGAAUUCCUAGUGUAGGAGUGAAAUCCGUAGAUAUUAGGAGGAACACCGGUGGCGAAGGCGGCUCUCUGGACCGAUACUGACGCUGAGACGCGAAAGCGUGGGUAGC